CAGAUGCUGCCCUUCAUGAUGUUGAGGAGGAAGACAAAGAAAAUCAUCUUGUAGUUCAUAGUGAGAAACUGGCCAUUGUCUUUGCAAUUAUCAACACCAUCCCUGGUACACCCAUUAGAAUCACUAAGAACCUACGUGUAUGUGGAGAUUGCCACAUUGCUUCCAAGCUCAUCUCCAAGAUCACGCAACGUCUGAUUGUUGUUAGGGAUACAAAUCCCCCUGGUACACCAAUUAGAAUCACUAAGAACCUACGUGUAUGUGGAGAUUGCCACAUUGCUGCCAAGCUUAUUUCCAAGAUCACGCAACGUCUGAUUGUUGUUAGGGAUACAAAUCGCUAUCAUCACUUUCAAAAUGGAGUUUGCUCAUGUAGUGAUUAUUGGUGACUCUGCCUUGAGGUUCAAAGGUCUAUGCUUAUAUCAGUUGCUCAUUUUUGGUGACUACAAAGUUUUUAUUCUAAUUUUGCUAACAUAUCACUCUUUUCGGGCUUGCAAUCAACAAUCCUUUGAUCGCCUGAUCGCACUUUUUCCGUCUGGCAAAAUUUGCUGGAGAGUUAGUGGACACAAAUGGCAGACGCUACGAACAGUUGAAGGGAAAUUUUGGACCUAAGCUGCUCAUCGUAUAAGAGGCCUCUCUCCAGAAUUAGAUUCGUUGUACAGUAGCUAUAACCCUCGAUUUUCUUGACUUCAAUGUGAGAAAUUGUUAAAGAGGUCAAUCUCACCAAUUCAGAAGCUGUAACUUUUAUCAGCGAAUAGAAGUGUAUCUGUGGGAAAAUAAAUUUUCUUAAUUGUGAUGUUCUUAUUUCUAACUGACGUAUAGGUGAUAU
Molecule: long non-coding RNA, 823 nt
Filed under: Nicotiana benthamiana
Lineage: Eukaryota; Viridiplantae; Streptophyta; Magnoliopsida; Solanales; Solanaceae
Description: long non-coding RNA (NBEN_LNC010414)
Source: RNAcentral